UACAGGGGGUGCAAGCGUUGCUCGGAAUCAUUGGGCGUAAAGCGCACGUAGGCGGUCUGUUAUGUCGGAUGUGAAAGCCCUUGGCUUAACUGAGGAAGUGCAUCCGAAACUGGCAGGCUAGAGUACUAAAGAGGGUCGCGGAAUUCCCGGUGUAGAGGUGAAAUUCGUAGAUAUCUGGAGGAAUACCGGUGGCGAAGGCGGCAUCCUGGACCGACAUUGACGCUGAAGCGCGAAAGCUAGGGGAGCAAACGGG
RNAcentral lists this ribosomal RNA (253 nucleotides) under uncultured bacterium. Its description in RNAcentral is "partial 16S ribosomal RNA". It matches the Rfam family "Bacterial small subunit ribosomal RNA", at positions 524 to 776 of the family's 1533-position model. The record is from RNAcentral.